AAUCCAUAGGUUAAUGAGGCGAACCGGGGGAACUGAAACAUCUAAGUACCCCGAGGAAAAGAAAUCAACCGAGAUUCCCCCAGUAGCGGCGAGCGAACGGGGAGGAGCCCAGAGCCUGAAUCAGCAUGUGUGUUAGUGGAAGCGUCUGGAAAGGCGCGCGAUACAGGGUGACAGCCCCGUACACAAAAGCGCAUGUGCUGUGAGCUCGAUGAGUAGGGCGGGACACGUGGUAUCCUGUCUGAAUAUGGGGGGACCAUCCUCCAAGGCUAAAUACUCCUGACUGACCGAUAGUGAACCAGUACCGUGAGGGAAAGGCGAAAAGAACCCCGGCGAGGGGAGUGAAAAAGAACCUGAAACCGUGUACGUACAAGCAGUGGGAGCACAGGUUUACCUGUGUGACUGCGUACCUUUUGUAUAAUGGGUCAGCGACUUAUAUUCUGUAGCAAGGUUAACCGAAUAGGGGAGCCGGAGGGAAACCGAGUCUUAAUUGGGCGUUAAGUUGCAGGGUAUAGACCCGAAACCCGGUGAUCUAGCCAUGGGCAGGUUGAAGGUUGGGUAACACUAACUGGAGGACCGAACCGACUAAUGUUGAAAAAUUAGCGGAUGACCUGUGGCUGGGGGUGAAAGGCCAAUCAAACCGGGAGAUAGCUGGUUCUCCCCGAAAGCUAUUUAGGUAGCGCCUCGUGAAUUCAUCUCCGGGGGUAGAGCACUGUUUCGGCUAGGGGGCCAUCCCGGCUUACCAACCCGAUGCAAACUGCGAAUACCGGAGAAUGUUAUCACGGGAGACACACGGCGGGUGCUAACGUCCGUCGUGAAGAGGGAAACAACCCAGACCGCCAGCUAAGGUCCCAAAGUCAUGGUUAAGUGGGAAACGAUGUGGGAAGGCCCAGACAGCCAGGAUGUUGGCUUAGAAGCAGCCAUCAUUUAAAGAAAGCGUAAUAGCUCACUGGUCGAGUCGGCCUGCGCGGAAGAUGUAACGGGGCUAAACCAUGCACCGAAGCUGCGGCAGCGACACUGUGUGUUGUUGGGUA
Molecule: ribosomal RNA, 1031 nt
Filed under: Salmonella enterica subsp. enterica
Lineage: Bacteria; Pseudomonadati; Pseudomonadota; Gammaproteobacteria; Enterobacterales; Enterobacteriaceae
Also listed under: 1 other name
Description: partial 23S ribosomal RNA
Rfam family: Bacterial large subunit ribosomal RNA
Source: RNAcentral